RNAcentral lists this ribosomal RNA (497 nucleotides) under uncultured bacterium. Its description in RNAcentral is "partial 16S ribosomal RNA". It matches the Rfam family "Bacterial small subunit ribosomal RNA", at positions 28 to 507 of the family's 1533-position model. The record is from RNAcentral.
GAUGAACGCUGGCGGCGUGCCUAAUACAUGCAAGUCGAGCGAACAGACGAGGAGCUUGCUCCUCUGACGUUAGCGGCGGACGGGUGAGUAACACGUGGAUAACCUACCUAUAAGACUGGGAUAACUUCGGGAAACCGGAGCUAAUACCGGAUAAUAUAUUCAACCGCAUGGUUCAAUAGUGAAAGACGGUUUUGCUGUCACUUAUAGAUGGAUCCGCGCCGCAUUAGCUAGUUGGUAAGGUAACGGCUUACCAAGGCAACGAUGCGUAGCCGAGCUGAGCGGGUGAUCGGCCACACUGGAACUGAGACACGGUCCAGACUCCUACGGGAGGCAGCAGUAGGGAAUCUUCCGCAAUGGGCGAAAGCCUGACGGAGCAACGCCGCGUGAGUGAUGAAGGUCUUCGGAUCGUAAAACUCUGUUAUUAGGGAAGAACAAAUGUGUAAGUAACUAUGCACGUCUUGACGGUACCUAAUCAGAAAGCCACGGCUAACUACGUG